AUUGAACGCUGGCGGCAUGCCUUACACGUGCAAGUCGAACGGCAGCAUGGAGAGCUUGCUCUCUGAUGGCGAGUGGCGAACGGGUGAGUAAUGCAUCGGAACGUACCGUGUAAUGGGGGAUAACGUAGCGAAAGUUACGCUAAUACCGCAUACGACCUGAGGGUGAAAGCAGGGGAUCGCAAGACCUUGCGUUAUACGAGCGGCCGAUGUCAGAUUAGCUAGUUGGUGAGGUAAAGGCUCACCAAGGCGACGAUCUGUAGCGGGUCUGAGAGGAUGAUCCGCCACACUGGGACUGAGACACGGCCCAGACUCCUGCGGGAGGCAGCAGUGGGGAAUUUUGGACAAUGGGGGCAACCCUGAUCCAGCCAUGCCGCGUGAGUGAAGAAGGCCUUCGGGUUGUAAAGCUCUUUCGGCCGGGAAGAAAUCGCACAGGCUAAUACUCUGUGUGGAUGACGGUACCGGCAUAAGAAGCACCGGCUAACUACGUGCCAGCCGCCGCAGUAA
RNAcentral lists this ribosomal RNA (504 nucleotides) under uncultured bacterium. RNAcentral describes it as "partial 16S ribosomal RNA". It matches the Rfam family "Bacterial small subunit ribosomal RNA", at positions 30 to 523 of the family's 1533-position model. The record is from RNAcentral.